Molecule: ribosomal RNA, 420 nt
Filed under: uncultured bacterium
Lineage: Bacteria
Description: bacterial SSU rRNA
Rfam family: Bacterial small subunit ribosomal RNA
Source: RNAcentral
GGAAUUGUUCGCAAUGGGCGCAAGCCUGACGACGCAACGCCGCGUGGAGGAUGAAGGUCUUCGGAUUGUAACCUCCUGUUGCCAGGGACGAAACGCUCCGACCUAACACGUUGGAGUCUGACGGUACCUUGUGAGGAAGCCCCGGCUACCUCUGUGCCCGCAGCCGCGGUAAUACAGAGGGGGCUAGCGUUGUUCGGAAUUACUGGGCGUAAAGGGCGCGUAGGCGGCCCGCUAAGUCGAACGUGAAAUCCCCGGGCUCAACCCGGGAACUGCGUCCGAUACUGGUGGGCUUGAAUCCGGGAGAGGGAUGUGGAAUUCCAGGUGUAGCGGUGAAAUGCGUAGAUAUCUGGAGGAACACCGGUGGCGAAGGCGGCAUCCUGGACCGGUAUUGACGCUGAGGCGCGAAAGCCAGGGGAGCAA